UACAGAGGGGGCAAGCGUUGUUCGGAAUCACUGGGCGUAAAGGGCGCGUAGGUGGUGGCUUAAGCGUGCGGUGAAAGCUCGGGGCUCAACCCCGAGUCGGCCGUGCGAACUGGGCUCACUGGAGCAUAGUAGAGGCAGGUGGAAUUCCGGGUGUAGCGGUGGAAUGCGUAGAGAUCCGGAAGAACACCGGUGGCGAAGGCGGCCUGCUGGGCUAUGGCUGACACUGAGGCGCGACAGCGUGGGGAGCAAACAGG
RNAcentral lists this ribosomal RNA (254 nucleotides) under uncultured bacterium. Its description in RNAcentral is "partial 16S ribosomal RNA". It matches the Rfam family "Bacterial small subunit ribosomal RNA", at positions 524 to 776 of the family's 1533-position model. The record is from RNAcentral.